UACGGGGGGGGCAAGCGUUGUUCGGAAUUACUGGGCGUAAAGGGCUCGUAGGUGGCCAACUAAGUCAGACGUGAAAUCCCUCGGCUUAACCGGGGAACUGCGUCUGAUACUGGAUGGCUUGAGUUUGGGAGAGGGAUGCGGAAUUCCAGGUGUAGCGGUGAAAUGCGUAGAUAUCGGAAGGAACACCGGUGGCGAAAGCGGCGCGCUGGACCUCUUCUGACGCUGAGGCGCGAAAGCCAGGGGAGCAAACGGG
RNAcentral lists this ribosomal RNA (253 nucleotides) under uncultured bacterium. RNAcentral's name for it is "partial 16S ribosomal RNA". It matches the Rfam family "Bacterial small subunit ribosomal RNA", at positions 524 to 776 of the family's 1533-position model. The record is from RNAcentral.